UGGCCUGUCCAGGUCCACUGAAGGUCCUUU
This 30-nucleotide non-coding RNA is filed under the name Rattus norvegicus (Norway rat). The record is from RNAcentral. Lineage: Eukaryota; Metazoa; Chordata; Mammalia; Rodentia; Muridae.